AUUCCUACGGGAGGCAGCAGCCAAGAAUAUUCCGCAAUGGGGGAAACCCUGACGAGCGACGCCGCGUGGAGGAUGAAGGCAUUCGUGUUGUAAACUUCUUUUUUAAGGGAAGAAUAAGUCUGGUAGGAAAUGACUGGAUGAUGACGGUACCUUAAGAAUAAGCCCCGGCUGAUUACGUGCCAGCAGCCGCGGUAAUAAU
Molecule: ribosomal RNA, 199 nt
Filed under: uncultured bacterium
Lineage: Bacteria
Description: partial 16S ribosomal RNA
Rfam family: Bacterial small subunit ribosomal RNA
Source: RNAcentral